RNAcentral lists this long non-coding RNA (362 nucleotides) under Lathyrus oleraceus (garden pea). Its description in RNAcentral is "Pisum sativum (pea) long non-coding RNA (PSAT_LNC027788)". Lineage: Eukaryota; Viridiplantae; Streptophyta; Magnoliopsida; Fabales; Fabaceae. The record is from RNAcentral.
GUUUGAGUGUGUGCUUGACAGUUAUAGGCUCGAGUCCCCGACUCCCUAUUAACUUGUUGCGUUGUUGUGUGCUUGGAAGCUGAUGUAAGUCCAUCGAGUGGCAUUUGGGUUCCAGUGUGCGUGUGUGUUUUGGUCGGAUGCUGAUGUAAGCCCAGUGAUUGGCAUUCAGGCUCCAUGUUUGCCUUCUUGAGCGCGUUUUGGUUCGGAUGCUGAUGUAAGUCCAGUGAUUGGCGUUCAGGCUCCAUGUUUGCCUUGCCUGUGUUUGUUUUGUGUGCGUGUCAGCCGAGCUACGAAUGCUCUGAUUCUUCUCUCGUCCGAGAAGAUACGUAUGCAUAGGAUGCGAUUCCUAGCGAGCAUGUGUC